RNAcentral lists this unclassified non-coding RNA (253 nucleotides) under uncultured Enterobacteriaceae bacterium. RNAcentral's name for it is "contains 16S-23S intergenic spacer region". It matches the Rfam family "Bacterial small subunit ribosomal RNA", at positions 524 to 776 of the family's 1533-position model. The record is from RNAcentral. Lineage: Bacteria; Pseudomonadati; Pseudomonadota; Gammaproteobacteria; Enterobacterales; Enterobacteriaceae.
UACGGAGGGUGCAAGCGUUAAUCGGAAUUACUGGGCGUAAAGCGCACGCAGGCGGUCUGUCAAGUCGGAUGUGAAAUCCCCGGGCUCAACCUGGGAACUGCAUCCGAAACUGGCAGGCUAGAGUACGGUAGAGGGUGGUGGAAUUUCCUGUGUAGCGGUGAAAUGCGUAGAGAUCUGGAGGAAUACCGGUGGCGAAGGCGGCCCCCUGGACAAAGACUGACGCUCAGGUGCGAAAGCGUGGGGAGCAAACAGG